This 305-nucleotide unclassified non-coding RNA is filed under the name plant metagenome. RNAcentral describes it as "partial contains 5.8S ribosomal RNA, internal transcribed spacer 2, and large subunit ribosomal RNA". The stretch from base 1 to 105 matches the Rfam family "5.8S ribosomal RNA", at positions 50 to 154 of the family's 154-position model. The record is from RNAcentral.
GAAAUGCGAUAAGUAGUGUGAAUUGCAGAAUUCAGUGAAUCAUCGAAUCUUUGAACGCACAUUGCGCCCUUUGGUAUUCCUUAGGGCAUGCCUGUUCGAGCGUCAUCUAAACCUUCAAGCCCUGCUUGGUGUUGGGUGCCUGUCCCGCCUCCGCGCGCGGACUCACCUCAAAUCCAUUGGCGGCCCCCGCGUCGGCCACGAGCGCAGCAGAAACGCGAACUCGUGAGCCCGUCCGGGCGGCUCCCAGAAGCUACAUCCACCCAGUUUGACCUCGGAUCAGGUAGGGAUACCCGCUGAACUUAAGC